CCCUUUGAUACUCUGGGCGGCACGCGCGCUACACUGGUUUAUAUAACGUGUAAUUUGGACGAUAGUCUGUAUAAAUCACUAAUAUAAAACCGUGAAUGGGAUAGUUUAUUGCAACUUACAAACUUUAACUAGGAAUCCCUUGUAGAAGUAGUGAAUUAUACUGCUUCGAAUACGUCCCUGCCGAUUGUACACACCGCCCGUCGUUUCUUCAGACUGGUACUCAUUGUGAAUUGCGAGGAGAUUCUGUCAAAUCGUUGUAAAUGCUGGGUAUUGGAGGAAGAAAAAGUCGUAACA
RNAcentral lists this ribosomal RNA (294 nucleotides) under uncultured eukaryote. RNAcentral describes it as "partial 18S ribosomal RNA". It matches the Rfam family "Eukaryotic small subunit ribosomal RNA", at positions 1470 to 1796 of the family's 1831-position model. The record is from RNAcentral.